UCCUCGGUAGUAUUGUUGUGAGUAUCCCCGCCUGUCACGCAGGAGACCGAGGUUCAAUUCCCCGCCGGGGAG
This 72-nucleotide transfer RNA is filed under the name Nematostella vectensis (starlet sea anemone). It matches the Rfam family "tRNA". From Rfam's summary of the family: Transfer RNA (tRNA) molecules are approximately 80 nucleotides in length. Lineage: Eukaryota; Metazoa; Cnidaria; Anthozoa; Actiniaria; Edwardsiidae. The record is from Rfam by way of RNAcentral.